Molecule: ribosomal RNA, 440 nt
Filed under: uncultured bacterium
Lineage: Bacteria
Description: bacterial SSU rRNA
Rfam family: Bacterial small subunit ribosomal RNA
Source: RNAcentral
GACGAACGCUGGCGGUGUGCUUCACACAUGCAAGUCGAACGAGGUAGCAAUACCUAGUGGCGGACGGGUGAGUAACGCGUGGGAAUCUGCCUUAAGAUGGGGGAUAACGAGCCGAAAGGCUCGCUAAUACCGCAUAUGCCGAAAGGUGAAAGGAGUAAUCCGUCUUAAGAUGAGCCCGCGUCCGGAUUAGCUAGUUGGUAGGGUAAAGGCCUACCAAGGCGACGAUCCGGUAGCUGGUCUGAGAGGAUGAUCAAGCCACAAUGGGACUGAGACACGGCCCAUACUCCUACGGGAGGCAGCAGUGGGGAAUUUUACGCAAUGGGGGAAACCCUGACGUAGCGACACCGCGUGAGCGAAGAAGCCCCUUGGGGUNUAAAGCUCUGUCAGCUGGAACGAAAAAAAUGACGGUACCAGCAGAGGAAGCAUCGGCUAACUACGUG